Molecule: non-coding RNA, 113 nt
Organism: Annulohypoxylon maeteangense
Lineage: Eukaryota; Fungi; Ascomycota; Sordariomycetes; Xylariales; Hypoxylaceae
Source: the annotation of a RefSeq genome assembly
UCUCGAUUCGUCUAGUGGUUAGGAUACCUGCUUGUCAUUCUCUUUACGGGCCUUCGAAUAGCCUAGCACAGCUGAAUUCGCAGGUGGCCGGGGUUCAAUUCCCCGAUCGAGAG